RNAcentral lists this ribosomal RNA (371 nucleotides) under uncultured bacterium. RNAcentral's name for it is "bacterial SSU rRNA". It matches the Rfam family "Bacterial small subunit ribosomal RNA", at positions 525 to 896 of the family's 1533-position model. The record is from RNAcentral.
ACGAAGGGGGCUAGCGUUGUUCGGAAUUACUGGGCGUAAAGCGCACGCAGGCGGCGUAUUAAGUCAGAGGUGAAAGGCCUGGGCUCAACCCGGGAACGGCCUUUGAGACUGGUACGCUGGAGUACGGAAGAGGGUAGUGGAAUUCCCAGUGUAGAGGUGAAAUACGUAGAUAUUGGGAAGAACACCAGUGGCGAAGGCGGCUACCUGGUCCGUUACUGACGCUCAUGUGCGAAAGCGUGGGGAGCAAACAGGAUUAGAUACCCUGGUAGUCCACGCUGUAAACGAUGAGUGCUGGAUGUCGGGAGGUUUACCUCUCGGUGUCGGAGCUAACGCGUUAAGCACUCCGCCUGGGGAGUACGGCCGCAAGGUUA